GUGCAGGCAGGCUCAGGGACUGUGCCGGCUGCUUCCUCGAAGACAGCUGUCUUCUCUCACUGGCUGCACUUGGGAGAAGGGCAGAGGUCUGUCCUGGGCUUUUUUUGUGUUUGUUUGAGGCAGGGUCUUGCUAUGGCCCUGGCUGGCUUCCCACUGGAGGAGAUCCUCCUGCCUCAACCUCCCAAGUGCUGGGAUAACAGGCACUGCCGUGCCAAGUUCCCGCACUUUUUUUCUUGGUACCAGGGGAUUGAGCUCAGGACCUUGAGCUUUCAAGGCAGGCACCGUGCCACUGAGCUGAAUCCCCUGCUCCUCUGGCUUCUUUUAUAGGGGCGCAACUCCUAGGUGUGAGAGCUCCACCGUGGCAACCUAAGCACCUCCCAAACCCCAUCCUCUUACCAUAACCUUAGAGAUUAAGGUUCACGUGUGAAUUAAAAGAGGAGGCACAAACCUUCCGACUCCCAAGCCCUCCUCUGAGCGCCCCCUGCACUGGAACCCACAGAUCCAGGGGAUCCUGGAGCCAACCGUGAGCGCUUAACACGGAGAGCUCCACGGGAUUUUGGUUUCCGCAGCGCCUAGCUCAGUGCCCUGACGUUUAAUAGGUGCCGAGCGUGUAUCAUUAAGAAAAUAACACAACAGAUGCUUACUUUUCCUAGGAAGCAGAGCAAGGGGCCACAACUCUGUCACGUCCACCGGCCAAGGGCGGCCCUCACAUGCGCCUCGGACCGCGGCCGUCCACGCGACAGCCCAGCCGCAGCCAGGGCAGAAGUUCUGCUCCGUGGCCGGGUCCGGGGUGGCCGUGGGACCCGGAGGGACAGAGGGCUCCCGCUGGCCUGGUGCACGGCGACUCAGCCUUAAUUCACACGAAAUGCGAUCCCAUCACUCAAGCCGGGCGCCCGGCCUUGGCCAGCGCAGGCGCGGUCCAGGCUAGGGACUCAGGAGGCCGCCAGGAGCCCGAAACGACCCGGAACCUGCUUCCCUCCUGACCUCUGCGACUGCAGCAGUUUUGAGACUCAGCUGCUCUCUCCAAAUCUCAAUUGACAACACUAACCCACUCAGCAGCCUCUUUUUCAAAGAAGAAAACCGAGGUCCAAAGAAGUUAGAAGUAUUGGGCGGCAGUCUUGGGAGCACAGGUGAACCGGGACCCCGGGCUCCGAUCGUCCUUGGCUCCAGGCCUCCAGUCCCCCAACCCCAAGCGGGGAGAUGGGGGCUGAUCUGUCUGGGGGCGGGGCUAGGAACUGGGGGUCUUGGAACUGCAGGAAGGACCCUGGGCUGGGGGAGCUGCUGGGGGCUGGAGCCAGGUGGGAGUGGGUGGCAUUGCUGCAGAUGGAGUCCGUCCUGUUUCAGAAAGAACCCGUGCAGAUGGUUUUGAGCAGGGAAAGCCUUAUCGGUUAGGGAUAGAAUUUGGCAGCUGGAAACCAAGACCAUAAAGCUAAAACCCAAACAGGAAGCCAGCUUCUUCCUAGGUGCUAUGAAAUCCCAGAUGGUCAGGGAUGGGGAAAUACUUGUCAGACUCUGUCAGCACCUCUCUUCUCUGCCAAGUGGCUCUGCUAGUGGCUUCUGCCUCCAAGGUCACCUCAUGAUCACAAGAUGGCCA
This is a long non-coding RNA of Fukomys damarensis (Damara mole-rat), 1594 nucleotides long. The record is from Ensembl. Lineage: Eukaryota; Metazoa; Chordata; Mammalia; Rodentia; Bathyergidae.